GGGCGUUUAGCUCAGUUGGCUAGAGCACCAGCUCGACAAGCUGGGGGUCACAGGUUCAAGUCCUGUAACGCCCACCA
Molecule: transfer RNA, 77 nt
Filed under: Planctomycetota bacterium
Lineage: Bacteria; Pseudomonadati; Planctomycetota
Also listed under: 1 other name
Description: Planctomycetes bacterium tRNA-Val
Rfam family: tRNA
About the family: Transfer RNA (tRNA) molecules are approximately 80 nucleotides in length.
Source: RNAcentral